UACGGAAGGCAGCAGUGGGGAAUAUUGCACAAUGGGCGCAAGCCUGAUGCAGCCAUGCCGCGUGUAUGAAGAAGGCCUUCGGGUUGUAAAGUACUUUCAGUCGUGAGGAAGGUGUUAAGGUUAAUAACCUUAGCAAUUGACGUUAGCGACAGAAGAAGCACCGGCUAACUCCGUGCCAGCAGCCGCGGUAAUACGGAGGGUGCGAGCGUUAAUCGGAAUUACUGGGCGUAAAGGGCACGCAGGCGGUUAAUUAAGUUGGAUGUGAAAUCCCCGGGCUUAACCUGGGAAUGGCAUUCAAGACUGGUUAGCUAGAGUCUUGUAGAGGGGGUUAGAAUUCCAUGUGUAGCGGUGAAAUGCGUAGAGAUGUGGAGGAAUACCGGUGGCGAAGGCGGCCCCUGGACAAAGGACUGACGCUCAUGUGCGAAAGCUGGGGAGCAAACAGGGAUUAGAUACC
This 454-nucleotide ribosomal RNA is filed under the name uncultured bacterium. Its description in RNAcentral is "bacterial SSU rRNA". It matches the Rfam family "Bacterial small subunit ribosomal RNA", at positions 340 to 786 of the family's 1533-position model. The record is from RNAcentral.